Molecule: ribosomal RNA, 118 nt
Filed under: uncultured bacterium
Lineage: Bacteria
Description: partial 16S ribosomal RNA
Rfam family: Bacterial small subunit ribosomal RNA
Source: RNAcentral
UGGGGAAUAUUGCACAAUGGGCGCAAGCCUGAUGCAGCAACGCCGCGUGAGUGAUGAAGGCCUUCGGGUCGUAAAACUCUGUCCUAAGGGAAGAUAAUGACGUACCUUGAGAGCCCCU